Molecule: ribosomal RNA, 784 nt
Filed under: uncultured bacterium
Lineage: Bacteria
Description: bacterial SSU rRNA
Rfam family: Bacterial small subunit ribosomal RNA
Source: RNAcentral
AUUGAACGCUGGCGGCAGGCCUAACACAUGCAAGUCGAGCGGAUGAGUGGAGCUUGCUCCAUGAUUCAGCGGCGGACGGGUGAGUAAUGCCUAGGAAUCUGCCUGGUAGUGGGGGACAACGUUUCGAAAGGAACGCUAAUACCGCAUACGUCCUACGGGAGAAAGUGGGGGAUCUUCGGACCUCACGCUAUCAGAUGAGCCUAGGUCGGAUUAGCUAGUUGGUGAGGUAAAGGCUCACCAAGGCGACGAUCCGUAACUGGUCUGAGAGGAUGAUCAGUCACACUGGAACUGAGACACGGUCCAGACUCCUACGGGAGGCAGCAGUGGGGAAUAUUGGACAAUGGGCGAAAGCCUGAUCCAGCCAUGCCGCGUGUGUGAAGAAGGUCUUCGGAUUGUAAAGCACUUUAAGUUGGGAGGAAGGGCAGUAAGUUAAUACCUUGCUGUUUUGACGUUACCAACAGAAUAAGCACCGGCUAACUUCGUGCCAGCAGCCGCGGUAAUACGAAGGGUGCAAGCGUUAAUCGGAAUUACUGGGCGUAAAGCGCGCGUAGGUGGUUCGUUAAGUUGGAUGUGAAAGCCCCGGGCUCAACCUGGGAACUGCAUCCAAAACUGGCGAGCUAGAGUAUGGCAGANGGUGGUGGAAUUUCCUGUGUAGCGGUGAAAUGCGUAGAUAUAGGAAGGAACACCAGUGGCGANNGCGACCACCUGGGCUAAUACUGACACUGAGGUGCGAAAGCGUGGGGAGCAAACAGGAUUAGAUACCCNGGUAGUCCACGCCGUAAAC